Molecule: long non-coding RNA, 1499 nt
Organism: Oncorhynchus tshawytscha (Chinook salmon)
Lineage: Eukaryota; Metazoa; Chordata; Actinopteri; Salmoniformes; Salmonidae
Source: Ensembl
GCAGUGUUUAGCAUAAACUAAAUCAGAUAUGUUGCUAGAUAAUUUAGCUAACGUCGGUAGCCUCGAACCCCGGCCAUAUUAUAUCAUAUAAAUUAGUUAGCCUCAAACUUUGCCCGGUCAUACUGCUAGUUGCAGUGAACGGCACCGUCAUGUUUUAUUAAAAGCAAUGCUGAAAAAAACAUGUAAACUAUAACAGCCACGGAAACACAUUGGACUGUGUUAAUGCUAUCAAGAAGGGAACCAUGAAGAGAAGCUUGGAGUGGGCAAGGGAGAGGCUAAUAAAGCAGCAGAGGAGACCUGAUUCAUCAAGUAUCAAUUAAUUUAGACACUUCAAUCUGACACUCUUGUUAAUGUUUGACGUCAGGCAAAACAUCUUCAGCCACCGUAGGACGGAGAGCCGCUGGUUGGCAUUUGACUGCAGUGUCUGUCUGGGUGUACCAGGAAAGGACGUUAGUAGUUAUAUAUCAAAGAUAUCAAAGCUUCUUACCGUCUCCACUGCAGCUUAGUCGUUAUCGAUAAAAUAAACUGGAACAAUGGAUUGUACGACAUUAUGUACAACUCCAGUUUGCCUAUUGCCCCAACUAAUGUCAAUUAGACAUUUUUACAUACGUCAAGAGUGCAUUUUCUUUUAUAGCUUUGCGUUCAACACCAUCCUUACCCACAAACUGGUUAGCAGGCUCUGGGUGUAAAUCCUGUAAUAAAUUAGAUUUUUUACAUUAUAAGAAUGUGUAUCCCCAGAAUGGACCUGACACUACCAUGGUACACAUGAGUACAUGAAGGAGCUGUGAGACUUGACAAUAGUGAUAGGACAAGUUUCAGCAUAAGCAAAACAAAGUAGAUGGUGAUACUUGACCAUUCUCCCAUCUACUGUACAUUGACAUGGAGAUGAUCAGCAGCUGCAAGUUCCUGGGCACCCUGAUAUCCUUUUCUGCCCUCAGUUACUUCACUCAAAGUCCCACUUGUGCUUCUCCACUAACCUCAAACUUGCUGCACCACGACCUAUGUACCAACUACAGUGUCUUGUAUUGCCAUAACACAUGUAAAGGAAAUGUCCAUAUUUACUGUAAGAUUUACUUAUGGUAACAUUGCACAUAUUGUAGUCCCUUGACAUACAUGACUUAACUACUUUGCAUAAUGCUCAGUUUACCCACUAAAAUCAUAAAUGUAUUUAAAUAUUAAAGCUGCAUUAUGUAAUACUGUGUCCAAUUGAUUCUGAUUGGUUGUAAUGUUUUUGAAAACUUUCACUACAACAUUUUUUUGCUGAUGGACAAUCCUGUCGGAAACUUUCAUAAUAUCAAUUAUUUUGGGACACAUCAAUUAACAUUGGCUGCAGUAUUCUGAACUUACUAGGUGGUCAUGCAAUGACCGUUCUGGAUAAUUCCCCUUAAAUGAAUUCUUUAAAUCAAAUCAAAUUGUCUUUGUCACAUGCACCAAAUACAACAGGUGUAGUAGACCUUACAGUGAAAUGCUUACUUACAAGCCCUUAACCAACAAUGCAG